This 253-nucleotide ribosomal RNA is filed under the name uncultured bacterium. Its description in RNAcentral is "partial 16S ribosomal RNA". It matches the Rfam family "Bacterial small subunit ribosomal RNA", at positions 524 to 776 of the family's 1533-position model. The record is from RNAcentral.
UACGAAGGGGGCUAGCGUUGUUCGGAAUCAUUGGGCGUAAAGCGCGCGUAGGCGGCCCGAUAAGUCUGCUGUGAAAGUCCAGGGCUCAACCCUGGAAUGCCGGUGGAUACUGUCGGGCUAGAGUUCGGAAGAGGCAAGUGGAAUUCCUGGUGUAGCGGUGAAAUGCGCAGAUAUCAGGAGGAACACCGAUGGCGAAGGCAGGUCUCUGGGCCACUACUGACGCUGAGAAGCGAAAGCAUGGGGAGCGAACAGG